Molecule: ribosomal RNA, 68 nt
Filed under: Escherichia coli
Lineage: Bacteria; Pseudomonadati; Pseudomonadota; Gammaproteobacteria; Enterobacterales; Enterobacteriaceae
Also listed under: 1 other name
Description: partial 16S ribosomal RNA
Rfam family: Bacterial small subunit ribosomal RNA (bases 1-56)
Source: RNAcentral
GGGUGAAGUCGUAACAAGGUAACCGUAGGGGAACCUGCGGUUGGAUCACCUCCUUACCUUAAAGAAGC